RNA transcript from Spinacia oleracea (spinach), 2054 nucleotides. RefSeq lists it as uncharacterized. Lineage: Eukaryota; Viridiplantae; Streptophyta; Magnoliopsida; Caryophyllales; Amaranthaceae. The record is from RefSeq and is a predicted model, not a curated record. The transcript has 4 exons.
UUUUUUCUGGAGAGGAAAGUUAGAGAGAGAAAUUUAUUAUUAAAUAUCUAAUGAUGUUGCAUCUGUUUCCAUAGAAUCUCUCCCCAAUAUAAUGUUAUUUUGAAAAAAAAUAGGAUUAGUUGGGGAAAUGACCCAGAUUUAUAAUCAUAUUCAUUUUUGAACAGUUUGUCAAUGUUAACGUGAAUCUUUAUUAUUAAAGAUGGUCUGCUUUUGCAUUUAACGAACCAUAAUGUUUAUUAUUAGUGCUAAGAAUAAUUUGAAAGAAAUAAGCACUAGUCCACUAUAUUUAUGUGUAUAAUGUUGCAUGUGUCUCUUCUUCAUCUGAUGACGUACUUCCUCUAGCGUUAGAUUAUUGUGGCCGGUGCUAAAGAAUACUUAGCCUCAUCUGGUUCCUUCUACUAUAUCUAUCUUUCAAUACGUAAUAUUGUCAAACAUAGUAGAAGGAACAUCCUAUUUGUGCUGUCAGCAUGACAAUAUAUGGCUAUGGCAUCACUGCAUAAUACAUUUUUGCUACUAUUUUCUGACUUGAUAAGUAUUUGAGACAACUUUACACUGUCAUACUCCGCACGUUGUCCUUCUUUUUUUAAUAUGGGCUGCUAGAAUCUACUCUGUAAUUUUUGUGUCCAAGUUACAGUUACAUCAAUUAAUAUAGUACAAUUGAUUUCCUUCCCCAACGACAUGUAUGCUUUUGCGUAUUAGUUGGUUUCUUUCUUGUUCAUUGAAAAAUAACAUGAAAUGUACAAUAAAUUGUUUUAGAGAAGCUUCUUGUUUAUCUCCGCCUUUGUGAAAGUUUGUUUAUCUCUUAUGGUAAUUAAUAAUUAAUAGUUCUUCUAUGUUUGGUUAGUAAGAUGUCAUAUAUUUCUACACAUUCUGGUCGGAGGAGGAGCAUAAAUGCAAUUCCAAAAGCUUGGAUGCCAACCGUUGUGUGUAGGAGAUGCAUUGAAAAAGCUGGAGAAUGAGAAUGGAAUUGUACCGAGAUUUGUGAUUGGAAAAAGGUGUAUGUUCUAUUAUUGGUGUGGAAUUAUGUUAAAUGUUGAAUAUCACUUUUGUUUUCUUAAACUUAAAUUGAAACUAAACAAUCUUGCAGUGCAAACCAUGGGGACAGUUUGACAGAGAUAUUGAUGCUGAAAAAAGUUUUACAGCCUGAAAUGACUCAAGGUUUGCUUGACUCAAGAUUAGUCUAUAAGCGGUAGAAGAAUAUGAUUAUGAGCCAGAAAUUGGAGUUAUAGGCGGGCAUCCUGGGCAGGGUGCGGAAGACCAAGGCCAUGAAGGGGAUGAGGAAGAUCAUGGAACGAGUGCUGAUCCAACUCAUAUUAUUGAUGGAGCCUUGGUGUGCUUCCACGAGAAACAUAAGUUGUACAGUCAAUGUGAUGAGUCCUGCAUACUGAUAGCGAAAGGAGAGCUCCACGUACCCCAUGAUCAUGUCGAUGAGUUUUGUAGCGGACCUUGCCUCGAGGAAACAAACCUUGUGUUAGACUACAUAGAUGGAAUUAUGGAUCACUUCAUAUUCUUUAACAAGGCCACCACUCAGGAUGUUAGGGAAACAAUUCUAGAUGGUUGUGGCCAUGGUGAUAAAAGAAGUGCAAUAUCCUACAUUAUUUAUAUUAUAGUCCGUUCCAAAAUAAUAGUUCACUUUUUAAGUUAAAACCUGAACUAGAUUUGUAUGGUUAAAUUUUGCCAAUAUAACCCGCGUCUCCUUCUUGGUUUUUGUGCAGGGUUCUUCGAUAUAGGAGAGCAUAUUGAAGCUGAUGAAGGAAGGGGAAUCAUUGGUAGCAAGGCUACGAAGACUGUACUGUCUGACAUUCUGAUUUCAAUCAUAGGGCAAAUUGUAUUACUACUGUAAAACCAGGGUAAUGACUAAUUAUUGACUAUUGUUAAUUUAUUACGAACUAUACGUGUGUUCCUAUUCCCCAUGAAGGUUGAUUUAUGUCCUACUUUUGCGGCGAGGUAUUCCUAGAAAAUGUAGGAUUUAAUCCAACUUAGAUAUAGUUACGCUGUAUACUGAUGUAUAAACUAAUUUGGGAAGAAAUAAUUCUAAUUAUCAAAACUACUUU